UAAUAUGUAGGUUAAAUAAUAAAAACUGAAGAAUUGUGGUUUCUUUGAUACUUUUUUGAGUCUUAUUUA
This 69-nucleotide transfer RNA is filed under the name Echinoderes svetlanae. RNAcentral describes it as "tRNA-His". The record is from RNAcentral. Lineage: Eukaryota; Metazoa; Kinorhyncha; Cyclorhagida; Echinoderidae.